CGUGCCACCCUCCUGGGAAGAGCUGAGUAGAGCCCCAAAGGAGAGGUCACCCCGCAGCUACGGAGCAGAGGCCAGAGGGGGUUGCAGUGGCGUGCCCGCGGGCUCUGCCGGCAGCCAGCUGUGUCAGAGAGGACCGAGCUUCAGGCCUCGAGGCCAGAGGCCUGAGGGCAUCCCACCCCUGCCGGGCCACAGGCACCCGGCCCCGCCAAUCAGCCACCAGGAGUGAGCCGGUACAUAUAUGAGCGCCCAGCCGACAAGGACCACCAACACACCAACAUCUGAGGGCAUCAGCCACCGGCAGGGAGUGUGGUGAGGGGAGAUAGGCCUCCGUACUUUAGAGGGCCUGAGAUGUACCCAGAGAGGUUGGGUUUAAGACCCAACCUGACAUAUAGACACAGACGAACAGGCACACGCGGACACAGACGUGCAUUCCCACCCCAUAUGCACAACCAAAUACUCGGCACUCACCCAACGUGUAGACAGACACAAAUAGACACUGCACAGACAGUCGCACUCCCCAAACUCUAUAUCCCAGGUCCAGGUAACCCCGCCCGGACCUUUAAUAAUCUAUUAAUUAAUGGAUAACUGUUUCACUAUUUCAGUUGAAUCAGAGGAUGUCACAUAUUCUUUGGUGGAGCUUAAAAACACCACUCCAAGGAAGAAGCCCAAGAUACCAGAGGAGAGUUGUGUUUACUCUGAUGUUAAAAUACGACCUUCCUCAGGUACAGUACAGUCAGUGACAACAAUCCUGCUUUUAAAUGUUUCUUUUUUUAAUAUCACAUAAAGAAUAAUCAGCAAUCUGUAUUUUAUUCCUUGGUGUCGCAGUAAGACAUUCCUGGAGAAACCCAUCUGGGAACAGUUAGGAGAAAUUUAGGACUGUUUUUGACAGCUGGUCAGUCAGAGGCAAUCAAUUUUUUCACCCCUUACUUCUACAGUAGAAGUGUUGUCAUAUCAUCUGUUGAUUAUCGCGUCUUAACAAAAAUGAAGAAAAAAGUGCCAACUGAAGCAUAAAUCUUUGUGACAAGGCUAAUGUUUAAUGUUAUGAGACCUGUAUCAGUAAAGUCCAAGAAAGCCCUAAAGAAGUGAAGGUUGGAUGGAUGUGAUUAGGAGCAGGACUACUUAUGAAUUCAGUGGUAGACUUUGUUUUAGACGUUAGCCUGUUGUACGCACAGGUCUCGAAUAUUAAAUCGAUAGCCAAGACAAGGAAAGGUAAGUAAAGUAAUAUAUCAGAUAAUUUUUUCUAGCACUUUCUCUUCUACAAUUUAUAAAUCCUGAAUAAAAUUU
This is a long non-coding RNA of Astatotilapia calliptera (eastern happy), 1284 nucleotides long. Lineage: Eukaryota; Metazoa; Chordata; Actinopteri; Cichliformes; Cichlidae. The record is from Ensembl.